This is a long non-coding RNA of Sarcophilus harrisii (Tasmanian devil), 1974 nucleotides long. RefSeq lists it as uncharacterized. The record is from RefSeq and is a predicted model, not a curated record. Lineage: Eukaryota; Metazoa; Chordata; Mammalia; Dasyuromorphia; Dasyuridae. The transcript has 3 exons.
GAUGAGUGGAAAGUGGGAGGAAGGAUGAAUUAGUACUUGCUUAUUAAAAAAAAUUUUUUUUUAAUAAACCCCAACUUGAAUUGGAGAAAAGUAGGGACUAAACUGUGGAAAAGCUUGACUUGUGAGACUCAGUAAGGCUCAGUAAUUUAGACUUAAUUCUAUGGGCAAAAUAAAAACUACUCUUAUUAUUACCUUUCUUUGAUGAAUAAAUAGGUAGUUCUAAAAGCACACAAGACUUUAGUAAAUAGAGAGGUUGUUACAUGCUAUAUGCAGAUGGCCACACCAACAGUAAGAAAAAUAGACAAUGAGAAUGUUCUUUUGUUCUUAGCAGUAAAUGACAAGUGAUUAGGCAAAUGCUUCUCCAUCCUUCUGAGCAAACAGCCUAGGGUAAGAAGCUAGCCCAUUGAGGACAGAAUUUGGUUCUGAUUUAGACAUUAUCACUACCUAGCACUAAAGAGAACAGGAUCAGGUCUUUUUCAUCAGGAUCUAUUUAGUCAAGGAAGAAACUAAUCCUCACUAUUAAUUCCUCCAACAGCAGUAGACAAAAGAUUUAGCCUCUGGCAUUGUAUUCCAUAAGGAAAGGGAAAAGAAACUUCUAAGAUCCAAACAUGAGGUUAUGUAAAAGACAAAGAUAGAGGUGAGGGGGGACAGGGAAUUCAAGGAAGAGUCCAGAAGAUGUCUACUUGUUCUCCAAUCUUAGAUGUGAAUGAAGACUAGCAAACCAACUUCUUGUUGCUUUUUCCCUGCAACUUCUACUAGUGACCCAUAGUAGAUCAACACAGUCUUUCUUUUAGCACACAAAAUUAUCAAUUUUCAUGAUGGAGUGACAAAAAUCCUAAGUAUGCUUAGCUCCAUUCCCAUCUCUGGAUUGGAAUGAGAUUCUGUGUUGGAGUUUUUUGUUUGUUUGUUUGAUUAAAGAACAAAUUCAUCUGAAUUCUUCAUCUCUAACAUUGCAGCUGCCUUUCUGCAAAUCUUUCUAACCAGUAGCUUUCAUAUGUUAACUAAAGACUGACCUUUUCAGUUUCUGGUAAGUGGUAGGGCUGUUGUGAAAGAAGGGAAAUCAAAUUUGUUAUUUGCCUUCGUGAGGAGAUAAGAGUCUGGCUGCUAGAAUAGCAAGUUUAUACCAUAAGUAUAUGUACACAUACACAAAGUUGCACACACAUUCCUCCACGAAUUACAAAGUACAAAACAAAUACCUAUAAAACUAAUGCAAUCAAUGGUCCUCACAUUUCAUAAUUUUAUAACAUAAAAGCCAAACUACAAUUGUGUGUUAGGCAGCCCAGCCUAAGGAGAUAUAAAAUUCAGCCCCCUCUCAUGGGAGCUGGGACAUAGACCCUCCCCUUGAGAGAGUCACUCAUGCAGUGAAUGGAUGGAAGAUGAAACAAACUUGGACAAAGCAGUUGCCUAAACAGCAUAAUUAGCUGAUGGCUCAGAAUGUUUUCUAAUUCAAUUACCCGACCCAUUUAUCAGGGCUGGGAAGCAUUCUGCUGUGGAGAUUUAAAUCUGCUCUUGCUGACGUCAAUGGAAGAUUGUCUGCCAGUCCCCGAAGUCUCCAGUUCAGCAGGCUCGAAUAGAUCUGAAUAAUACUUACAUGGAUGAUACGUGCAUUAAUUAAGGAUUAGUGUGAAGAUGAAAAUGAGACAAUGAAAAGCAUUUUGAAACUGUGGAGUCCUACACAAAUAAAAUAUUAUUAUCAUUAUUAUGAAUCUGUGAAGGAUACUGCUUAUUUUAAAACUCAAGUUCUAGCCUCAAUCUGCUAACUAGCCAAGCCUAAACUUCUUUCAGCCAAGGUCAAUGUACCCUAAAAUAGGGAAAUUCAAAUCUUACACUCUGUAGAUCCAGAAUAAAAGCAAAAAAGCAGGGGACCUGAGAAAGCUUGUUUCCUUCUCUACAGGAAGGUGGGAGGAAAGUAAUUGUUCAUAGAAUCAACAGUAUCGCAAUUUGCUUCAGUAAAUACAAGGAGACUCUAGAGUA